Long non-coding RNA from Xiphophorus hellerii (green swordtail), 272 nucleotides. RefSeq lists it as uncharacterized. The transcript has 3 exons. Lineage: Eukaryota; Metazoa; Chordata; Actinopteri; Cyprinodontiformes; Poeciliidae. The record is from RefSeq and is a predicted model, not a curated record.
UGUAAAACGGAUUUUAACUCGGCACAUGAUGAUUCACACAGGUGAAAAGCCAUAUACAUGUAUGAACUGUGGAAAAAUCUUUAGUCGCAAAGAUAGUUUGACUCUCCACAUGAGGCGUCACACAGGUGAAAAGCCGUUUUCAUGUGUGACCUGUGGAGAAAGUUUUCGUCACAAGGUGAGUUUAAUUCACCACUUGAGGCGUCACACAGGUGAAAAGCAGUAGAAGUAUUUUCCAUACAUGUUCUAUGUUGAGGUUCACUAUAGAACUGAUU